UUACCAGACUCCUACGGGAGGCAGCAGUGAGGAAUAUUGGUCAAUGGGCGCGAGCCUGAACCAGCCAAGUCGCGUGAGGGAUGACGGUCCUACGGAUUGUAAACCUCUUUUGCCGGGGAGCAAGCGUGCGUUCGUGAACGCGCGUCGAGAGUACCCGGAGAAAAAGCAUCGGCUAACUCCGUGCCAGCAGCCGCGGUAAUACGGAGGAUGCGAGCGUUAUCCGGAUUUAUUGGGUUUAAAGGGUGCGUAGGCGGGCAUUUAAGCCGGCGGUCAAAUGUCGGGGCUCAACCCCGGCCUGCCGUCGGAACUGGGUGCCUUGAGUGGGCGAGAAGUAUGCGGAAUGCGUGGUGUAGCGGUGAAAUGCAUAGAUAUCACGCAGAACUCCGAUUGCGAAGGCAGCAUACCGGCGCCCAACUGACGCUCAGGCACGAAAGCGUGGGUAUCGAACAGGAUUAGAUACCCGAGUA
RNAcentral lists this ribosomal RNA (467 nucleotides) under uncultured bacterium. Its description in RNAcentral is "bacterial SSU rRNA". It matches the Rfam family "Bacterial small subunit ribosomal RNA", at positions 328 to 792 of the family's 1533-position model. The record is from RNAcentral.